This 125-nucleotide small RNA is filed under the name Marmota monax (woodchuck). Lineage: Eukaryota; Metazoa; Chordata; Mammalia; Rodentia; Sciuridae. The record is from RNAcentral.
GCUGGAUGCGGUGGUGCACACCUGUAAUCCCAGCAGCUCAGGAGGCUGAAAUGGGAGGAUCAUGAGUUCAAAGCCAGCCUCAGCAAUGGUGAGACACUAGGCAACUCAAUGAGACCCUGUCUCUA